RNAcentral lists this unclassified non-coding RNA (233 nucleotides) under plant metagenome. Its description in RNAcentral is "partial contains small subunit ribosomal RNA and internal transcribed spacer 1". The stretch from base 1 to 54 matches the Rfam family "Eukaryotic small subunit ribosomal RNA", at positions 1778 to 1831 of the family's 1831-position model. The record is from RNAcentral.
GGAAGUAGAAGUCGUAACAAGGUCUUCGUAGGUGAACCUGCGUAGGGAUCAUUUUUGUGAGGUUUUGUCUGGUAAUAUCUUUAUUGAUAUUAUGUCGCUAAAAGUAUUAAAAACACUUUGCCUCUUUGUGUUCCGCGACAAACACGUCGCAUAAAGAAAUUUAUGUGGUGUGCUUUUUUUUAUUAAAAAGUGCCAAACUUUUUCAAGUCUUCAUAAUGGACGACUUGGCUCUU